This is a long non-coding RNA of Gallus gallus (chicken), 1043 nucleotides long. NCBI's taxonomy places the organism in Eukaryota, Metazoa, Chordata, Aves, Galliformes, Phasianidae. The record is from Ensembl.
AGUGGAGGUAGGUGUAUCUCUCUGGAGAUUCCUGCAUACCUGAGGCAUUCUGAAGGCACUAAACUUUAGAAAAGUCAACUUGCAGCACUUCAGGAAGUUAGUCAACAAAACUUCCUGGAAAACUACCCUUAAGGACCGGGGUUCAGAGCAGAGAUGCAUAUCUUAAAUAAGUUUUCCUUGGUGCUCAAGAACUCUCUGUUCCCAGGUAGAGAAAUUCAGGGAUGGAAGGCAAGAGUCUGGUGCGGCUGAACUAGAACCUACUGGUCAAAUGGGAGAGCAAGAAAUAAAAUGAAAGGCAGAGGCAGCAGGGACAGGUAACUGGGGGGCAGUACAGGGAUGCUGCUAAGCUGCGUAGGGAUGGGAUCAGGAAGGUCAAGAGUCAGCUGGAACUGGAUGUCACAAAGGGCGCAAAGAACAAGGAAGACUUCUGUAAGUGCAUCAAAGAGAAAAGUCCAAGAGGAUAUACCCCUCCUAGUGAGCAAUGUACUGCAGUGGCUUAAAACAUUCUCCAUGAAGUUAACAGACUCAGUGGAAAUUUAUACUUUCAUUUUAUGAACUCAAAGUCAUCCAUUAUCCACCCAGAAAAUAAAAAAUACUUAAGGAGGGAAGGAGUAGUGAAAAGAAAUUUGUAAUGUCUGUUUCAUGUGUAUGUUUAUUUUUUUCUUAGGGAAACUUCUGGAAAGUAGAAUAACAGGUAGUAUAGAAACACACACACGCAUAUAUACUGUCAGAUCAUGCAAAAGGAGCAUAAGAACUUUCUUUAUUUACCUUCAGCCUGACUGAGAAAUAAACAAAUAGAAUGGAAGGAAACCGUUGAAGACCAAAGAAUAGGUGAUGAGAACAUAGCUUAGUUGUCCAGAUUCACAAAAAAUUGUAGCUCCUAAUGAAAACUUGCAUUUUCCUUCAAUAAAAGAAAGGAGUUACAGGAAGUGUCUAUUGAAUAUAGACAAUGAACAGCCUUUCUGAUUUCCUCUCUUCUAGAUCUGGUGAAGAUAGUUUAAGUUGCUAAACAAUCAAAGACUUUACCCACCUCUGCUCUGCUG